GGUGGCUCAGUGGUAGAGUGCUUGCCUCACAUGCAUGAGAUCCUGGGUUCAAUUCCUCAGCACCA
Molecule: transfer RNA, 65 nt
Filed under: Dipodomys ordii (Ord's kangaroo rat)
Lineage: Eukaryota; Metazoa; Chordata; Mammalia; Rodentia; Heteromyidae
Rfam family: tRNA
About the family: Transfer RNA (tRNA) molecules are approximately 80 nucleotides in length. Their secondary structure includes four short double-helical elements and three loops (D, anti-codon, and T loops).
Source: Rfam by way of RNAcentral